UCAAUCAUUAAAGAUAUAUCGUGAUCUGAAAAAUAAGCUUGAGAAGCUUCCUCUAAUCCUUCAUACCAUAAUUCAUGCCAAAGUAUAGCAACUCUAAUUAGCUCUUGACUAACAAGUAGAGCUUGACGAACCAACGUAUCACUAUGCGAAAGCAUGCUAUCCAUAAUUGAUUUUGCUGAAUGCUUCUGCUGCGGAUUUGUAGAUUUGGAGGACACAGUAAGUGAAUACACCAAUGCCUGAGGAUGCACCCUACCAAUAUCGGAAAGUAACUGAUGAACAGAUGCUCUAACUGAAGAACUUGAAGUGUGUAUUCGUGCAAUUAGUUGUGGUAUAACUUCUAACCAUGUAUCCAUUGGAACAUUGGAAAAUCCUUCAACAAUUGCGGCUGCUACGUCGCUGUGCUCACCGAAU
Non-coding RNA from Schizosaccharomyces pombe (fission yeast), 411 nucleotides. NCBI's taxonomy places the organism in Eukaryota, Fungi, Ascomycota, Schizosaccharomycetes, Schizosaccharomycetales, Schizosaccharomycetaceae. The record is from the annotation of a GenBank genome assembly.